CNUNCNUGGGAGGCGGCAGUAGGGAUUCUUUCAAUGGGGGAAAGCCGCANGCAGCAAGCCGCGUGGGGGAUGAAGACCUUCGGGUUGUAAACCCCUUUUNGCAGGGANGAAAAUGGAGGGAUCCCCCGGAGAAGGACCCGCCAAAUUAUUUCCCCCCGCCCCGGUUAAAAUUUGGGGGCGAGGGUUUUUCCGGUAUUUUUGGGGUAAAAAGGUAAUUGGCGGGUCGGUUAAUUGUGUGUUAAAAUUUCGGGUUCCAACCUGGGACGUCACUUGAUAAANCCGUGGCUUGAGUCCGGUAGGGGAGGGUGGAAUUCCCGGUGUAGCGGUGAAAAGGGCAGAUAUCAGGAGGAACACCAGCGGGGAAGGGGGCGCUUUGGGCCUNUACUGACGCUGAGGAGCGAAAGCGUGGGGAGCAAACAGGAUUAGAUACCCUGGUAGUCCCCUCCGUAAAAGAUGGGCACUAGGUGUGGGAUAUCAACNGUUCCGUGCCGCAGCUAACGCNUAAGUNCNCCNG
RNAcentral lists this ribosomal RNA (514 nucleotides) under uncultured bacterium. RNAcentral describes it as "partial 16S ribosomal RNA". It matches the Rfam family "Bacterial small subunit ribosomal RNA", at positions 335 to 872 of the family's 1533-position model. The record is from RNAcentral.